This is a non-coding RNA of Petromyzon marinus (sea lamprey), 783 nucleotides long. Lineage: Eukaryota; Metazoa; Chordata; Hyperoartia; Petromyzontiformes; Petromyzontidae. The record is from RefSeq and is a predicted model, not a curated record.
GCCUGGGAGGGACAGUUGUUACCGUGAUAUCUCCUGGCGACGAAAUGUCUCCUUCAGAUAAACUUCCACCAAAACCACUGCAUACCCAUUUCACCCUUUAAUGAUCUCAUCUUGUUUUGUUGCUGUUGCUCUUCUUCUCGCCGUGUCGCACAUUCAGCUUCGGUGCCCUCGAGCCCGCCGACGUGAGCCACAAGAUAGGCACGGGGCACGCACAGACGACGGCGUCGACUCACGGCCCGCGGUGUCGCCCGCUCAAAGCGCGGUCGGUCAAGCCGCGUCGCGUCGGCGAGCGGGAGCGGUGUGCGCAUCGCCCUGUCGCUGGGAGCCCCCCGUCCAUGUAAUUUGACUCUCUGGGGCCAGUGCCGCGAGCGAGUAGAGCCUACGAAGGUUGGCACGGUCUACGAGGCUGGGGGUAUGGCCAGCACCACGCCUGCCCACCUUUGUCUCCCCAGUGCAGAUGCUUACACGCCGCUCAUUGAAGCUAUGGGAGCAAACCAGGGACACUGGAGGGAACCCACGGCGGAGAGGGGGAGAACAUGCACUCUCGAGACAAAGAGGCACUCGUGUCGGGAAUAAAACCUAGGUAUGGUAACUUAUUUAUGUCACACAAGAGUCUUGCCACCGCGCUGCCCUGCCUCACACAAAGAGCUCAGGCUGCACAACAACACAAUGUGAUUGAUCAUUGCGCUCUCUGCAACUAGUUGCUUUUAUUUAUGUUGAAAUUGUCAAAGUUAUUAACAACGCCUCAACGCACUGAUGCUGUGCUCAUAUCCUAUUUAGAGC